This 464-nucleotide ribosomal RNA is filed under the name Vreelandella stevensii. Its description in RNAcentral is "partial 16S ribosomal RNA". It matches the Rfam family "Bacterial small subunit ribosomal RNA", at positions 338 to 795 of the family's 1533-position model. Lineage: Bacteria; Pseudomonadati; Pseudomonadota; Gammaproteobacteria; Oceanospirillales; Halomonadaceae. The record is from RNAcentral.
CCUACGGGUGGCAGCAGUGGGGAAUAUUGGACAAUGGGGGCAACCCUGAUCCAGCCAUGCCGCGUGUGUGAAGAAGGCCCUCGGGUUGUAAAGCACUUUCAGUGAGGAAGAACGCCUGGUGGUUAAUACCCAUCAGGAAAGACAUCACUCACAGAAGAAGCACCGGCUAACUCCGUGCCAGCAGCCGCGGUAAUACGGAGGGUGCGAGCGUUAAUCGGAAUUACUGGGCGUAAAGCGCGCGUAGGUGGCUUGAUAAGCCGGUUGUGAAAGCCCCGGGCUCAACCUGGGAACGGCAUCCGGAACUGUCAAGCUAGAGUGCAGGAGAGGAAGGUAGAAUUCCCGGUGUAGCGGUGAAAUGCGUAGAGAUCGGGAGGAAUACCAGUGGCGAAGGCGGCCUUCUGGACUGACACUGACACUGAGGUGCGAAAGCGUGGGUAGCAAACAGGAUUAGAUACCCUGUAGUC